This 1405-nucleotide long non-coding RNA is filed under the name Anser brachyrhynchus (Pink-footed goose). RNAcentral describes it as "lncRNA (ENSABRG00000016821.1)". Lineage: Eukaryota; Metazoa; Chordata; Aves; Anseriformes; Anatidae. The record is from RNAcentral.
CGAAAGCACCACAUCUAAACAGCUCUGUGGGUCCCUAAUCCUGCCACCUGGCAGAUAAUCCUAUUAUCUGCUGCCUAUCUGCUGUGCACGGGAUCAGACCCGAGUGCACUGGAUGGUCUCCUAGGAGAGUGGACAAGUAGCCUUGAACCACACCAAAAGAGCACCGAACUGCUUUCCCCCUAACCCAGGGAGCACUGUCACCUUUAGGGGGUGGUAUGGAAGGGCAAUAGCUCCAUCACCCUGUUGGUUUUUUUGUUUGUUUGUUGGUUUGGUUUUUGUUUGUUGGUUUGUUUUGUUUGUUUAAAAAUGAAAGCAUUUGGUCAGUGAAGAAUCUCUUCAUGAGUAUGCAAAGGUGCCAUACUGAUGCUCAGAGAGAUGCUUGCAUGGUAUGAAUCAAGUACCAUCCCUAUGUGCAGUUUUUUAUGAGCAAAGAACAGCCAAUAAAACUGGUCACAGGUAAUUAUCUAGAUUCCCUCCCUCACACCAAAUAUCACCAGGAGGCACCUCACUCUCUCUUGCAAUAGCUAGGAGACCAACGCGCAUGUCCAGGCUGCUGGACGCCACUGCAGAUACCAAGCGUAUAAACACUAGACAACAUCAAAUUUAAUAUCUGCAACUUUUACAGCCCUGACACCCACAUGCUGAUCUGCAUAAGGGUGAGGGGGUGAUUAGAAACAAAACAGAAAAACAAUCUUUAAAAUCUACUUAAUUGCCUGUAUCUACCCUCCAUUCAGCCCGGAGAAUUGUUCCUGGUAUCAGCUGAUGUGGGAGGUGAACCGUGAAAAAAACAGGUUUCACUCAAAAUAAUUCCAUUAGGGCCUGAAAUGGCUGGGUGAAACAUGAGUAAGGGAAAUCAUCACAGAAACACAACAGCUGGGCUCCAUGACGUCACUCGCAGGAAUCAAAGGAAAUGAGCUUAUGAGUUAUGCAUAAAAGGGGUUUGUUUGUUUGUCUGUCUACUUACAAGGUUACAGUUUGUUUUCUGAAUGACAACAACAAAAACAAGCUUUGAAAAAUUUAGUCCUGAUAUUUUGCUCUUUAAGCCACAGCCUAGAAGACAAAUUGGAAAUCAAGGAAGCAUUGCAGACAGACAGACCAGCUUCUAUUUCCUUCAACAGUAUGGGUUGAGGUCAACAGAAACCAGCUCUAUAGUUGCUGGUUUCAAGGAAGAAGAGCUAUGAAGUCAGAGAGCUGGGAUGGGAUUCUCCCCACCAGAGCCACCACCCAUGCUCCUUUCACCAUAAAAAAAAAGAGUAACAUCUCCUGAAGCAACUUGUGCUAGCAUAACAUGCAUCUCAGGCACGAUCCCCUUCAGGUGGGGUGAGUUCCCUCUGGAUUAUGCAUGGUCUAGGUAACUACUUUGACUAAAAGUACAAGAAUUUACCUCUACCUGCAGUGUCUCUGC